Molecule: ribosomal RNA, 468 nt
Filed under: uncultured bacterium
Lineage: Bacteria
Description: partial 16S ribosomal RNA
Rfam family: Bacterial small subunit ribosomal RNA
Source: RNAcentral
GACGAACGCUGGCGGCGUGCUUAACACAUGCAAGUCGAACGGAAAGGCCCUGCUUUUGUGGGGUGCUCGAAUGGCGAACGGGUGAGUAACACGUGAGUAACCUGCCCUUGACUUGGGGAUAACUUCAGGAAACUGGGGCUAAUACCGGAUAGGAGCUCCUGCUGCAUGGUGGGGGUUGGAAAGUUUCGGCGGUUGGGGAUGGACUCGCGGCUUAUCAGCUUGUUGGUGGGGUAGUGGCUUACCAAGGCUUUGACGGGUAGCCGGCCUGGGAGGGUGACCGGCCACAUUGGGACUGAGAUACGGCCCAGACUCCUACGGGAGGCAGCAGUGGGGAAUAUUGCACAAUGGGCGGAAGCCUGAUGCAGCAACGCCGCGUGCGGGAUGACGGCCUUCGGGUUGUAAACCGCUUUCGCCUGUGACGAAGCGUGAGUGACGGUAAUGGGUAAAGAAGCACCGGCUAACUACGUG